Long non-coding RNA from Xiphophorus hellerii (green swordtail), 684 nucleotides. RefSeq lists it as uncharacterized. The transcript has 2 exons. Lineage: Eukaryota; Metazoa; Chordata; Actinopteri; Cyprinodontiformes; Poeciliidae. The record is from RefSeq and is a predicted model, not a curated record.
AAAUGAUCUACCGACUCCUCUGGGAGCAGAGCUAGGGACGUGCGCGGCCGAUGCCAAUUUGGUGUUUGAGCGUCAAAUCCCGCAUCUGAUGAGCUGGAAAAAGUGCAUCACCGAGGCCCCCAUCACGCCACCCCCGCCUCAGAAGAUGCGUCGAGCGGCAAAGAGCAAAAAUGCAAACAGGUGUUGUGUCGCGCCGACGUCCCCCUCCCCGUCGAAAUGCGCGUCUAUUCUGUGAUUUACGGCAGCAUUUAAAGAGAUGGUGCAUUCAAAGUAAGCCGGAUAUUGGGGGACUCUACAUUAAAACGCCUUAAAAGUGAUUAAACAUCGUUUCAAAUAAUAAAAUAUAACUGAAUGAUAUUCAGCAUAUUUUACGUAACACUCUUGGCUAUAAUAUGUGAUAUAUAUCUUGUUCUAAUCUUACUAUAACGGUACAUUUCAAGUCUCUGAUUCAUUCUUGAAAAAUAUUACCAAACUAAGCUCUACUAUCUCAAGCAGGAAGCUGGAAAUAAUUAUUCAUACUUUUGUUUUUCUCCACUAUUGGGUUAAUAUAAUGGACUUCUCACAUGUUGAAGUAAAACUUCACAUUUUAAUCCAAAUGCUGCUGCCUGGCUUCCAACUAAAUUCCCAAAAGUUUUGACAUAUGACUUCCUAUUUUUUUCUAGUGCAAAUAAAUUGUAUUUUAUU